This 76-nucleotide transfer RNA is filed under the name Vibrio alginolyticus. RNAcentral's name for it is "tRNA-Gly". It matches the Rfam family "tRNA". From Rfam's summary of the family: Transfer RNA (tRNA) molecules are approximately 80 nucleotides in length. Their secondary structure includes four short double-helical elements and three loops (D, anti-codon, and T loops). Lineage: Bacteria; Pseudomonadati; Pseudomonadota; Gammaproteobacteria; Vibrionales; Vibrionaceae. The record is from RNAcentral.
GCGACACUAGCUCAGUUGGUAGAGCGCAACCUUGCCAAGGUUGAGGUCACGAGUUCGAACAUCGUGUGUCGCUCCA